Molecule: long non-coding RNA, 408 nt
Organism: Acromyrmex echinatior (Panamanian leafcutter ant)
Lineage: Eukaryota; Metazoa; Arthropoda; Insecta; Hymenoptera; Formicidae
Source: RefSeq, a predicted model, not a curated record
CCGUACCAUUCAAUUUUUCAACCAUCUGGAAGCAUUGGUCAUACACGUUUGAUAACUGCAAUUUGUAUAUUUUCACGACACGUGUUAUUAUUAAAUUAAAAUCCACUACAGUCUGAGAGUGACUCGUUUUGGACGGAUUAUAUUGCUAAUUGUUAUAUUGCCGAGGAUGAUUAUAAAGCGAAUCAAAACGUUCAAGAUUUUGAAAUAAAGAAGACACCAAUAUUAUGAAGAAAGAUUACUAUUAUUAGUGCAAGCUUUGACUUAUACAUGCUUGAACAUAACCGUCACUGGAAACAUAUAGAUAUAACAAAUUAGAUAUAGAAAGUUUCAAAAGUCUUAGACCAUACAUAUGAGUAUGCAAUCAAUAUUACAAAAAUUAAAUGCUUAUAUAAUUCUUAAUAAUGCUUG